This 254-nucleotide ribosomal RNA is filed under the name uncultured bacterium. Its description in RNAcentral is "partial 16S ribosomal RNA". It matches the Rfam family "Bacterial small subunit ribosomal RNA", at positions 524 to 776 of the family's 1533-position model. The record is from RNAcentral.
CACGUAGGCACCAAGCGUUGUCCGGAUUUAUUGGGCGUAAAGAGCUCGUAGGCGGUUCGGUAAGUCGGGUGUGAAAACUCUGGGCUCAACCCAGAGCCGCCACCUGAUACUGCUGUGACUAGAGUGCGGUAGGGGAGCGGGGAAUUCCUGGUGUAGCGGUGAAAUGCGCAGAUAUCAAGAGGAACACCAGUGGCGAAGGCGAGUCCCUGGACGAUACCUGACACUGAGGCACGAAAGCCAAGGGAGCAAACAGG